The sequence is a regulatory RNA element, 161 nucleotides long. It matches the Rfam family "Ribosomal protein L10 leader". From Rfam's summary of the family: This family is a putative r-protein leader autoregulatory structure found in B. subtilis and other low-GC Gram-positive bacteria. It is located in the 5' untranslated regions of mRNAs encoding ribosomal proteins L10 and L12 (rplJ-rplL). A Rho-independent transcription terminator structure that is probably involved in regulation is included at the 3' end. The record is from Rfam.
UUAAAAAUGAAUAUUUUGCCGUAGACAGUAGGUGCAUUGCUUAAUAUCCUACCGAGGUUUUGUAUAAAUGAAGCGAUAUGCAAAAGUUGCAUGUUAUAUAAAGCUUUUAAAAACAAAAGACCUCUUUAGUCUAUGGACCUAAGGGGUCUUUGUUUUUAUCA